GACAUUAGGAAUGGAAGAGAUGAAAGGUUGAUGAAGAAAGAGAGAAGAAGACCGAUAUUAUGAUGAAAAAUUAACAAUCUGCACCUGCAAGUGAGAAGACUUAUAUGUUGAUCCAAAAUAGAGAAAAACAAUAGUACAUGUCAUGCAUAGGAUGAUAAUAGACUCCCAGAGUUGCUCCACCAUCUGUAUGAAAAUAUCAAUAUCAUACCAAGAAAAUAUUGUAUCCAUCAGUAUCAAACAAAUAUUGAGCAGCU
Molecule: long non-coding RNA, 254 nt
Filed under: Elaeis guineensis (African oil palm)
Lineage: Eukaryota; Viridiplantae; Streptophyta; Magnoliopsida; Arecales; Arecaceae
Description: long non-coding RNA (EGUI_LNC029582)
Source: RNAcentral